RNAcentral lists this transfer RNA (63 nucleotides) under Campodea fragilis. RNAcentral describes it as "tRNA-Tyr". It matches the Rfam family "tRNA". Rfam says of the family: Transfer RNA (tRNA) molecules are approximately 80 nucleotides in length. The record is from RNAcentral. Lineage: Eukaryota; Metazoa; Arthropoda; Diplura; Rhabdura; Campodeidae.
AAUGCAAUGACUGAAAAAGUGUUAGAUUGUAAAUCUAAAAAUGAGUGUUUUACUCUUGUAUUA